This 21-nucleotide non-coding RNA is filed under the name Arabidopsis thaliana (thale cress). The record is from RNAcentral. Lineage: Eukaryota; Viridiplantae; Streptophyta; Magnoliopsida; Brassicales; Brassicaceae.
CCUUCCUCGCAAAUUGACUGU